GGCAGUGUGGUGUAGUGGUUUGAGUGUUGGACUAGGGCACUGGGAGAUCAGGGUUCAAAUCCCAGCUCAGUCA
Phrynosoma platyrhinos (Desert horned lizard) is the source of this 73-nucleotide non-coding RNA. The record is from the annotation of a GenBank genome assembly. Lineage: Eukaryota; Metazoa; Chordata; Lepidosauria; Squamata; Phrynosomatidae.